GGACCAUGAGACAAGAGUUGGAGCACACAGUGUCUUAUCUGUCGUGCUUAUGCCAUCCUUGCUUUCUCUUUGGUCUGACCAGAAUAAGAAAACAUCAGAAGCUAUUACUGGAUUUUUAGGUACAUUGCCGAAGUCAAUAAGCAAAAGCUUCUCCUUUCGGGAUGAAGGUAAGGAUAAGGCAGAAGCCAUAGAUGGAGAAUCAUGGGAGGAAAACAAUCAAAUAUUGGACAUGGGUGCAAAAAACUUUAGAAAAAAUGGC
Molecule: unclassified non-coding RNA, 259 nt
Filed under: Hevea brasiliensis (rubber tree)
Lineage: Eukaryota; Viridiplantae; Streptophyta; Magnoliopsida; Malpighiales; Euphorbiaceae
Source: RNAcentral